UAAUAGAUGCCUGCAUAAUCUGUUUUUUGUAUAAUAGAAGCUAAGACUGCACUUCUUAAUUUCAGAUUAUUCGUAAUCUAAAGUUGACAAUUGAGGAUGAGCUCUCAAGAGUGAAUAGUCUGAAGGAGAAAACAUCUCUAAGUUUCUUCAUGAAUACUAAUGAGAUUACAUCUUUGUUAAAAAAUAUGGGGAAGAUUGAAUGGGGAAAAACAACAAAAUGUUUUCCCAAAUAUAGUGAAGACGAUGGACAACACACUCUUAGGCCUGAUGACAAAGAAGAAAUACCACCAGGCUGUGAUACUCAUUUUUCUGUAGACAAUACCUUUCCAGCACUUACCAGAGAAAGGAAAAUAAAGGCUCUUGCAAAACUUGGUGUUCAUGAAGAAGUGAAAAAUACUCGAGUACAAGAGUUACUUACUAUGAUACAUCGUCAGAAUAUUCCUGUUCUACCCAAGACUCUGUCCAGCCCUGAUGUCAUAAUAGAAGAAAUAAUUGAAGAUGAUGAGGAAGGUAGGUUGCUUAACACCUGAUGCUUUCAAUAUUCAGUUGUCAGUCAUAAUGUCAUUUAUCCAUAGCAUGUUUGUAGUCAAACUCAGCGCUCAUACAGACUCUUUCAUGGCUCCUGCAUUUCACUUUCCCUUGCUUUGAACUUCUGUGGUUUCUUUUUUUCCUUCCCUUAGCUUGGCUUAGGGAGAACUUUCUUACAACUUUUUUCUAGUAGCUGUCAUCAUAAGUUUCUGUGUCUUCCUGGAAAAGUCUCCUUGACUAUC
RNAcentral lists this long non-coding RNA (770 nucleotides) under Apteryx rowi (Okarito brown kiwi). RNAcentral's name for it is "lncRNA (ENSARWG00000013735.1)". Lineage: Eukaryota; Metazoa; Chordata; Aves; Apterygiformes; Apterygidae. The record is from RNAcentral.